This 396-nucleotide ribosomal RNA is filed under the name uncultured bacterium. Its description in RNAcentral is "partial 16S ribosomal RNA". It matches the Rfam family "Bacterial small subunit ribosomal RNA", at positions 523 to 918 of the family's 1533-position model. The record is from RNAcentral.
AUACGUAGGGGGCAAGCGUUAUCCGGAUUUACUGGGUGUAAAGGGAGCGUAGACGGAAGGCCAAGUCUGAUGUGAAAGCCCGCGGCUCAACUGCGGGACUGCAUUGGAAACUGGUCAUCUGGAGUGCAGGAGGGGUAAGCGGAAUUCCUAGUGUAGCGGUGAAAUGCGUAGAUAUUAGGAGGAACACCAGUGGCGAAGGCGGCCUGCUGGACGACAACUGACGCUGAGGCGCGAAAGCGUGGGGAGCAAACAGGAUUAGAUACCCUGGUAGUCCACGCUGUAAACGAUGAAUACUAGGUGUGGGGGGACUGACCCCCUCCGUGCCGCAGUUAACACAAUAAGUAUUCCACCUGGGGAGUACGUUCGCAAGAAUGAAACUCAAAGGAAUUGACGGGG